UGUAUCGUUGAUCACACGUAUAAUAUCAGGAUCCAGUGAAAGUAGUUCUGGCAUGUGACAAGGAUUCCUCCUGGGCGUCUCCUAGGUGAGGUGUACUGGCCGUGUCCAACCAGGAGGAGGCCCUGGAUCAGACCCAGGACCUGAUGGAGUUCCCCUGGAUAAGCUGGAGGAGGUGGCUGUGGAGAGGGAGGACACCAGGAGAGAUGAGCAUAUCCAGCCCACAUCUGCAGCAACUGUACUUAAUGGAAGUUGGGACAAUGUUAAAGACUUUCUUCAAGCAAUUGCACUUGGAUUAGCUAAAUUC
Molecule: long non-coding RNA, 304 nt
Organism: Oreochromis aureus
Lineage: Eukaryota; Metazoa; Chordata; Actinopteri; Cichliformes; Cichlidae
Exons: 3
Source: RefSeq, a predicted model, not a curated record